This 494-nucleotide ribosomal RNA is filed under the name uncultured bacterium. RNAcentral's name for it is "partial 16S ribosomal RNA". It matches the Rfam family "Bacterial small subunit ribosomal RNA", at positions 28 to 507 of the family's 1533-position model. The record is from RNAcentral.
GACGAACGCUGGCGGCGUGCUUAACACAUGCAAGUCGAACGGUGAAGCGCCUUCCUUUUUGGUGGGUGUGGAUGAGUGGCGAACGGGUGAGUAACACGUGAGUACCCUGCCCCCUUCUUCUGGAUAACCGCAUGAAAGUGUGGCUAAUACGGGAUAUUCUGCUUCUUUCGCAUGAUGGGUCUGGGAAAGAUAUUGUUUCGGUGGGGGAUGGGCUCGCGGUCUAUCAGCUGGUUGGUGGGGUGAUGGCCUACCAGGGCGAUGAGGGGUAGCCGGCCUGGGAGGGUAGCCGGUCUCACAGGGUGUGAGACAACGCCGGGACUGCGACGCGGCGCAGCAGUGGGGAGUAGGGAGCAGUGGGGGAAAUCGUGAUGCAGCGGCGACGCGGGUGGGGUGGAGGCCUUCGGGUUGUGAAGCCCUUUCGCCAGUGAAGCAGGCCUGCCUGGUUUGUAGGUGGGUUGACGGUAGCUGGAAAAGAAGCGCCGGCUAACUACGUG